UUAUCGGUGUACGAUGGGGAUGCGUUCCAUUAGGUAGUAGGCGGGGUAACGGCCCACCUAGCCAACGAUGGAUAGGGGUUCUGAGAGGAAGGUCCCCCACAUUGGAACUGAGACACGGUCCAAACUCCUACGGGAGGCAGCAGUGAGGAAUAUUGGUCAAUGGACGAGAGUCUGAACCGGCCAAGUAGCGUGAAGGAUGAAGGUCCUACGGAUUGUAAACUUCUUUUAUAAGGGAAUAAACCCUCCCACGUGUGGGAGCUUGUAUGUACCUUAUGAAUAAGCAUCGGCUAACUCCGUGCCAGCAGCCGCGGUAAUACGGAGGAUGCGAGCGUUAUCCGGAUUUAUUGGGUUUAAAGGGAGCGCAGACGGGUCGUUAAGUCAGCUGUGAAAGUUUGGGGCUCAACCUUAAAAUUGCAGUUGAUACUGGCGUCCUUGAGUGCGGUUGAGGUGUGCGGAAUUCGUGGUGUAGCGGUGAAAUGCUUAGAUAUCACGAAGAACUCCGAUUGCGAAGGCAGCACACUAAUCCGUAACUGACGUUCAUGCUCGAAAGUGUGGGUAUCAAACAGGAUUAGAUACCCUGGUAGUCCACACGGUAAACGAUGGAUACUCGCUGUUGGCGAUAUACUGUCAGCGGCUUAGCGAAAGCGUUAAGUAUCCCACCCGGUG
This 666-nucleotide ribosomal RNA is filed under the name uncultured Bacteroidota bacterium. RNAcentral's name for it is "bacterial SSU rRNA". It matches the Rfam family "Bacterial small subunit ribosomal RNA", at positions 212 to 878 of the family's 1533-position model. The record is from RNAcentral. Lineage: Bacteria; Pseudomonadati; Bacteroidota.